RNAcentral lists this ribosomal RNA (220 nucleotides) under uncultured bacterium. Its description in RNAcentral is "partial 16S ribosomal RNA". It matches the Rfam family "Bacterial small subunit ribosomal RNA", at positions 524 to 740 of the family's 1533-position model. The record is from RNAcentral.
UACGUAGGCAGCAAGUCGUUGUUCGGAGUUACUGGGCGUAAAGGGUGUGUAGGCGGUUGUUUAAGUUUGGGUGUCGAAAUCUCCCGGCUCAACUGGGAGGUGCGCCGAAUACUGAAUGACUAGAGUGCGGGAGAGGAAAGUGGAAUUCCUGGUGUAGCGGUGAAAUGCGUAGAUAUCGAGGAGGAACACCGGUGGUGUAGACGGCUUUCUGGACCGUAAC